Gorilla gorilla gorilla (western lowland gorilla) is the source of this 3104-nucleotide long non-coding RNA. RefSeq lists it as uncharacterized. Lineage: Eukaryota; Metazoa; Chordata; Mammalia; Primates; Hominidae. The transcript has 6 exons. The record is from RefSeq and is a predicted model, not a curated record.
AUUGUCUGAAAGAAAAUAUGGUAUGUCUAAACUGGAAAAGUCCUGUAAUCUUAUGUUCAUGGGCGUUUACACAAUGGAGUUACUGUUCAUCAUGGGGGUACCGUGGACAAUCCCAGGGCUGCCGACAUGAACUUAUGAAUUCAACAGGUGAAGAUUUACUACUUGAUAAAUCAGCUUUGUGAGCUCGAGCUGUAAAAGCCAAAGGUCCGGUGAUGAUCCCAUACCCUUUUUUCCAGUCUCAUGUUGAAGAUUUUUAUGUAGAAGGCCUUCCCAAAGGAAUUUUUUUUUUUUUUUUUGAGAUGGAGUUUUCACUCUUAUCGCCCAGGCUGGGGUGCAGUGGCGCAACCUUGCUGGUCACUGCAACCUCUGCCUCCUGGGUUCAAGAAAUUCUCCUGCCUUAGCCUCCCAAGUCGCUGGGAUUACAGGUGCCCACCACCACACCAGGCUAAUUUUUGUAUUUUUAGUGGAGAUGGGGUUUCACCAUGUUGGCCGGGCCAGUCUCGAACUCCUGACGUCAAGUGAUCUUCCCGCCUCGGCCUUCCAGAGUGCUGAGAUUACAGACGUGAACCCAUGCCUGGCCAGGAAUUUUGUUUUUUAGGAAGGCUUUCUACUAAUGGAAUUCCUGGCCUUGAGAGGAUGUUACUUUCGAAGGAAAGGAUUUUUUUGUUAUUAAAAGAAACAGGACCUUGCCCUGUCACUCAGGAUGGAGUUCAGUGCUCCUAUCAUGGCUCAUUAUAGCCUCAAACUCCCAGGCUCAAGCAAUCCUACCAUGUCAGCCUUCCCGUAGCUGGGACUACAGAGACGAGGUUUCGCCGUGUUUCCCAGACUGUUCUCAAACUCCUGAGCUCAAAGCAGUCCACCCACCUUGGCCUCCCAGAGUGCUGGGAUUACAGGUGUGAGCCAUCUUGCUCAUUCUAGUUUAAACUUUUGAGUGGUUUGUGUCUCCUGAUUGGACUCCUACAAAUACAGAAUUGAUGCUAGGAAGGGUACCAGGAGAUAGACGCACACAGAUGGGAUUUGGGAAUAGGUUUGGUUAUCCAAGGAGCAGUGCUGAGCUCCUUGCUAAUGGGAUAUGGGAUGCUGGUGAUUUCCAGGAAGUGAGCUCACAAUGACUCAAGCUGCCACAUACUGUUGAUUGUGAAAUGCCGGUUGAAGUAUAUGUCCUGCGAGCUUAGGGGUGCUACAAGUUGACCACUGCAGCAGUAAAGAUGACUCUGAAGAAUGGCGUGGGAUGGAUCCUUUCAAAUGCACUUGAGCAGCGGUCUCCAACCACAGGGCCACAGAACUGGAGGUGAGCAGCAGGCGAGUGAAGGGAAACUUCAUCUGUAUUUCUAGCCCCUCCCAUCGCUUGCAUGACCACCUGAGCUCCAUGUCCUGUCAGAUCAGCAGCAGCAUUAGAUUCUCAUAGGAGCACAAACUCUGUUGUGAAGUGUGCAUGUGAGGGAUCUAGGUUGUGUACUCCUUAUGAGAAUCUAAUGCCUGAUAUUCUGUUACUGUCUCCCAUCACCCCAGAUGGACAGUCUAGUUGCAGGAAAACAAGCUCAGAGAUCCCACUGAGUCUACGUUAUACUGGAUCUACCAUGAAGGACUUCUGAAUCCAGGAAGAGAGACUGACUGGGCAACAUGUUAUUCAGGUACAAAAAGAUUUGGACUGUAACUUAAAAAUGAUCAAAUAAUAGUGCAUGCAUCAAGUGCAAUGGGAAGCUCUUCUGGAGAGUGAGAGAAGCUUCCAGUUAAGGUGACAUUGAAGCCAAGUCCUGAAAGAUGAGGAAGAGUUGUAUGAGAGUGGGGAGGGAAGGGGGAGGUGGAGGGAUGGGGAAUGGGCCGGGAUGGGAUAGCGCAAACUGCCCGGGAAGGGAAACCAGCACCGUACAGACCUGAACAACGAAGAUGGCGUAUUUUGUUCAGGGAAUGGUGAAUUAAGUGUGGCAGGAAUGCUUUGUAGACACAGUAAUUUGCUUGUAUGGAAUUUUGCCUGAGAGACCUCAUUGCAGUUUCUGAUUUUUUGAUGUCUUCAUCCAUCACUGUCCUUGUCAAAUAGUUUGGAACAGGUAUAAUGAUCACAAUAACCCCAAGCAUAAUAUUUCGUUAAUUCUCACAGAAUCACAUGUAGGUGCCACAGUUAUCUCCAUUUUAUGAAUGGAGUGAUGAAGCCUUAGGAAUAAUGAAUGAUUUGUGCAGGCUCACCUGGAUAUUAAGACUGAGUCAAAUGUUGGGUCUGGUCUGACUUUAAUGUUUGCUUUGUUCAUGAGCACCACAUAUUGCCUCUCCUAUGCAGUUAAGCAGGUAGGUGACAGAAAAGCCCAUGUUUGUCUCUACUCACACACUUCUGACUGAAUGUAUGUAUGGAGUUUCUACACCAAAUUCUUCAGUGCUCUGGAUAUUAACUGGGUAUCCCAUGACUUUAUUCUGACACUACCUGGAGUUAGCACAGACCCCACAAGUUAGGGGCUCAGUCCCACGAGGCCAUCCUCACUUCAGAUGCCAAUGGCAAGUCCUAAGUUGUCACCAUACUUUUGACCAACCUGUUACCAAUCGGGGGUUCCCAUAACUGUCUUCUUGGGUUUAAUAAUUUGCUAGAACAGUUUACGGAACUCAGAAAGACAGUUUAUUUUCUUUUUUUCUGAGAGAGAGGGUCUUAUUUUGUUGCCCAGGCUGGUGUGCAAUGGUGCAGUCAUAGCUCAUUGCAGCCUUGAUUGUCUGGGCUCCAGUGGUUCUCCCACCUCAGCCUCCCUAGUAGCUGAGACUACAUGCCUGCACCACCACAUCUGGCUAGUUUCUUUUAUUUUUUGUAUAGAUGGGGUCUUGUUGUGUUGGCCAGGCUGGCCACAAAUUCCUGGUCUCAAGUGAUCCUCCCACCUCAGCCUCUGAAAGUGCUGGGAUUACAGAUGUGAGCCACCACAUCUGGCCAGUUCAUUUCCUAUUACUGGUUCAUUGUGAAGGAUACAUCUCAGAAACAGUCAAUGAAAGAGACGUGCAUGCUGGAUGCAGUGGCUCAUGCCUGUAAUCUCAGCACUUUGGGAGGCCAAGGUGGGAGGAUCGCUUAAACUCAGGAGUUUGAGACCAGCCUGGGCAACAUGGUGAAAACCUGUCUCUAUAAAAAA